Hypomesus transpacificus is the source of this 102-nucleotide long non-coding RNA. RefSeq lists it as uncharacterized. The record is from RefSeq and is a predicted model, not a curated record. Lineage: Eukaryota; Metazoa; Chordata; Actinopteri; Osmeriformes; Osmeridae. The transcript has 3 exons.
UAAUAUCUGCAUCUGCAAGUGAUGUCGAAGAAACGAAAACUGGACAUAAGAGACUUCUUUAGAAGUCAACGUGUGACAGACAGUGGAGAGACUGGAGGAGAU